CGUGAAAAUGGGAUAAAAUCCUAAUUGGCAUUAAAAUUAGAAAGAUCAUAUCAUAGGGAACAUGUUUACUAAGUUUCAAGUUGAUUGGACUUCAAAUUCAUCAAAAACUACCUCCACCAAAAACUUAAACCUGAAGUGGGACGAACGGAUGAACAGACGAAAGAAUGAACAAACAGAAGGACGGACGCAUAGACCAGAAAACAUAAUGCCCAUAAAUGAGGCAUAAAAAAAACAGAACUCUUUUCACAAAAAUCAGAUGAUUGAAAUUGAUUGUAAGUUACUGAAAUGUGUAGCAAGUAUUUUUAUUCUUAAGAUUUUAUUGUGAAAAGAACAGCUGAAUUGCCAGAAUACAAGUCAUAGUGAUUGAUUUUCUUUGUUUUCAAACACUCCUGGACUGAUAAACUAGUCUUUGUUGUUGACAAAUCACUUUUAUUUAUAUGAUGUUUGUAGA
This 451-nucleotide long non-coding RNA is filed under the name Mytilus galloprovincialis (Mediterranean mussel). Lineage: Eukaryota; Metazoa; Mollusca; Bivalvia; Mytilida; Mytilidae. The record is from RNAcentral.